UACGUAGGGAGCGAGCGUUAUCCGGAAUUACUGGGCGUAAAGGGCGCGUAGGCGGAAUGACAAGUCAGCAAGUGAAAGCGUGGGGCUCAACCCCAUGAUGCGGCUGAAACUGUUAUUCUAGAGGCAUGGAGAGGCAAACGGAAUUCCCGGUGUAGCGGUGAAAUGCGUAGAUAUCGGGAAGAACACCAGUGGCGAAGGCGGUUUGCUGGCCAUGAACUGACGCUCAUAGCGCGAAAGCUAGGGUAGCAAACGGG
This 254-nucleotide ribosomal RNA is filed under the name uncultured Jonquetella sp. RNAcentral's name for it is "partial 16S ribosomal RNA". It matches the Rfam family "Bacterial small subunit ribosomal RNA", at positions 524 to 776 of the family's 1533-position model. The record is from RNAcentral. Lineage: Bacteria; Thermotogati; Synergistota; Synergistia; Synergistales; Dethiosulfovibrionaceae.